UGGCCCAGAUCGUUUACCGUGAAAAAAUUAGAGUGUUCAAAGCGGGCAGAUAUUUUUCCUGCCACCGAAUACAUUAGCAUGGGAUAAUGGAAUAGGACCCUGACCUCCUAUUUUCAGUUGGUUUUGUUUACAGCGAGGUUAUAUCAGGGUAAUGAUUAAUAGGGAUAGUUGGGGGCAUUAAUAUUUAAUUGUCAGAGGUGAAAUUUUUGGAUUUAUGAAAGAUUAAAUUUUGCGAAAGCGUUUGCCAAGGAUGUUUUCAUUAAUCAAGAACGAAAGUUAGGGGAUCGAAGACGAUCAGAUACCGUCGUAGUCUUAACCAUAAACGAUGCCGACCAGCGAUUAGGAGACGUUGAAUACAAAACACCGCCGUUAAUCCUUUCGGGGGUUAAUGGUUGGUGAAUGACUCCCUAGCAGCUUGUGAGAA
Molecule: ribosomal RNA, 424 nt
Filed under: Acanthamoeba lenticulata
Lineage: Eukaryota; Discosea; Longamoebia; Acanthamoebidae
Description: SSU rRNA
Rfam family: Eukaryotic small subunit ribosomal RNA
Source: RNAcentral